Molecule: ribosomal RNA, 143 nt
Filed under: uncultured bacterium
Lineage: Bacteria
Description: partial 16S ribosomal RNA
Rfam family: Bacterial small subunit ribosomal RNA
Source: RNAcentral
UUGGNCAAUGGGCGCAAGCCUGAUCCAGCCAUUCCGCGUGAGUGAUGAAGGCCCUAGGGUUGUAAAGCUCUUUCACCGGUGAAGAUAAUGACGGUAACCGGAGAAGAAGCCCCGGCUAACUUCGUCCNAGNNGCCGCGGUAAU